This 773-nucleotide unclassified non-coding RNA is filed under the name Hevea brasiliensis (rubber tree). Lineage: Eukaryota; Viridiplantae; Streptophyta; Magnoliopsida; Malpighiales; Euphorbiaceae. The record is from RNAcentral.
UUUUUUUUUUUUUUAUUCUUUUUAAUUGUCUUUUAACCCAUAUAAAAUUAAAACCCUACUUGGCUACCUAGCGCAAAUGAGAAAAGGAGAAACACAACAGCUCCUCUCUUUCAACAACGGGUAUGUCUUUCUCUCUCUCUCUCCUCUUCUUCUCUCCUUCCUUCUUUUGCAGUUAUUCCUAUUUUCCUUAAUUCAGUAUUCCUAUUUUCCUUAAUUCAGUUUUCUUCUUGGAUUCUGAUGGUGCUAUUCUUUUGUCAAGCAUUCAGAUAUUCAAGAAUCCUAAAUCAACUUCGCAUGAAAAACCCUUUUUUUCUUUGAAGUCAAUUCUAAAAUUUCUCAUUUAUCAAUCCCUAAUCUGCUGCAGACACCAAACAGAUCAGUUUGAACCUGCAUAUGAUUUUGCAUGUUGACUAAGGAAAGCCUAAAUAAAAUCACACAAAGAAAAAAAUUGAGGGUGUGUUUACAUGUGAAAAAACUAGAGCAGUUUUCUGGAAAAUUUUUUCAAGAAAACUGAAAAGUGCGAUCAAAUGUAAAAUUUUUCAAACUUGAAAACUAAAAAUUAAUUUUCCAGUUCUCUAAAUUACAAGUAUAAACAUGGAAGCUCCUCUAUGUUUUCUUUGUUCUUUGUCUUGGGUUGUGGUUUCAAUCCCAGACUCAAUGCACACCCUUUUCAAAUUUUUCUUUUUAUUAUCUUCCUAUUAAGCUAUUUGAGUUUCCUACAAGUUUGGGCUCUUCUUUUUUUCUUUCUCAAGUUGCAAUGUUUGGUUUUACGA